GAUGAACGCUGGCGGCGUGCUUAACACAUGCAAGUCGAACGGAAAGGCCCAAGCUUGCUUGGGUACUCGAGUGGCGAACGGGUGAGUAACACGUGGGUGAUCUGCCCUGCACUUCGGGAUAAGCCUGGGAAACUGGGUCUAAUACCGGAUAGGACGAUGGUUUGGAUGCCAUUGUGGAAAGUUUUUUCGGUGUGGGAUGAGCUCGCGGCCUAUCAGCUUGUUGGUGGGGUAAUGGCCUACCAAGGCGACGACGGGUAGCCGGCCUGAGAGGGUGUACGGCCACAUCGGGACGGAGAUACGGCCCAGACUCCUACGGGAGGCAGCAGGGGGGAAUAUUGCACAAUGGGCGCAAGCCUGAUGCAGCGACGCCGCGUGGGGGAUGACGGCCUUCGGGUUGUAAACUCCUUUCGCUAGGGACGAAGCGUUUUUGUGACGGUACCUGGAGAAGAAGCACCGGCUAACUACGUG
Molecule: ribosomal RNA, 468 nt
Filed under: uncultured bacterium
Lineage: Bacteria
Description: partial 16S ribosomal RNA
Rfam family: Bacterial small subunit ribosomal RNA
Source: RNAcentral